AAGAAAGAAACAUGCAGACAAUGCAAAACGAUAGCAGAAGCACGGCGCCAGAAAUGAGAUGCCCUCAUCAAACCGCACCAUCAACUUCAACUUUAACUCCAUACUUUCCAGCAGAGAGAGACGCCAUCCAGUAUAGUACACCUUAUCCACCACCAUCAAUGAAACGGGUGCUUAGGCUGAAAAGGGUUUAUUCAACCAGAACUCGUGGCCGCUCCGGUCCACUCUCUUCGCUGGCUCGGAAGCUUGACCGGUUCAAAGUUCGAACAGUAGUUGUACAAGAGACUACAACUGAUGAUGAAAAUUGAAUGGAUCAGUCUUCCAUAUGCAACUUGUACAUGUCCAACUAAUUUUGUUGUAAAACUUCUUUUAAUUUUUUAACCUAAUUCAUUCAUUUAUUUGUUCAUAACAUAAUGUCCUAGCGAUUGUAUUUCAUCUAUUAUUUUAUAUAAGUUCAUAAUAAACG
RNAcentral lists this long non-coding RNA (463 nucleotides) under Arachis ipaensis. RNAcentral's name for it is "long non-coding RNA (AIPA_LNC001499)". Lineage: Eukaryota; Viridiplantae; Streptophyta; Magnoliopsida; Fabales; Fabaceae. The record is from RNAcentral.